CUCUUAGGGCUGAAAAUAAUUUUUCUUAGAUUUAAUCUUUGAGCUUGCAAAAUUUUUAUGAUUUUCUACUUCAAGAGAGUAUUUAUAGUUACCAUUUACCCUUGAGAAUGUCUUCGAGUUGGUUUAGAGCUGUUGGAGUAUAUUUAAUCCAUAUUAAAUGCAUCAAAAACAGACUGAAAACUAGCCGUUAUGCGAGUUCGCAGAAAUGGGGCAUCCCAAAUGGCCAGACAGAAGGUCCUGCUU
Molecule: long non-coding RNA, 243 nt
Filed under: Elaeis guineensis (African oil palm)
Lineage: Eukaryota; Viridiplantae; Streptophyta; Magnoliopsida; Arecales; Arecaceae
Description: long non-coding RNA (EGUI_LNC031597)
Source: RNAcentral